RNAcentral lists this ribosomal RNA (635 nucleotides) under uncultured bacterium. RNAcentral describes it as "bacterial SSU rRNA". It matches the Rfam family "Bacterial small subunit ribosomal RNA", at positions 8 to 694 of the family's 1533-position model. The record is from RNAcentral.
AGAGUUUGAUCCUGGCUCAGAACGAACGCUGGCGGCAGGCCUAACACAUGCAAGUCGAGCGCCCGCAAGGGAGCGGCAGACGGGUGAGUAACGCGUGGGAACGUGCCCUUUGGUUCGGAAUAUUCCCGGGAAACUGGGAGCAAAACCGGAUAAGCCCUUCGGGGGAAAGUUUACGCCAAAGGAUCGGCCCGCGUUAGAUUAGGUAGUUGGUGGGGUAACGGCCUACCAAGCCUACGAUCUAUAGCUGAUCUGAGAGGAUGAUCAGCCACACUGGGACUGAGACACGGCCCAGACUCCUACGGGAGGCAGCAGUGGGGAAUCUUGGACAAUGGGCGCAAGCCUGAUCCAGCCAUGCCGCGUGGAUGACUGAAGGCCCUAGGGUUGUAAAGUCCUUUCGACGGGGACGAUAAUGACGGUACCCGUAGAAGAAGCCCCGGCUAACUUCGUGCCAGCAGCCGCGGUAAUACGAAGGGGGCUAGCGUUGUUCGGAUUUACUGGGUGUAAAGGGCGCGUAGGCGGAUUUUUAAGUCGGGGGUGAAAUCCCGGAGCUCAACUCCGGAACUGCCUUCGAUACUGGAAGUCUGGAGCACGGUAGAGGUGAGUGGAAUUCCGAGUGUAGCGGUGAAAUGCGUAGA